AGAGUUUGAUCCUGGCUCAGGAUGAACGCUGGCGGCGUGCUUAACACAUGCAAGUCGAACGAAGCACAAAAAUGGAAUUCUUCGGAAGGAAGUUUUUGUGACUGAGUGGCGGACGGGUGAGUAACGCGUGGGUAACCUGCCUCAUACAGGGGGAUAACAGCUGGAAACGGCUGCUAAUACCGCAUAACCCGAUAGGGCCG
This 200-nucleotide ribosomal RNA is filed under the name uncultured bacterium. Its description in RNAcentral is "partial 16S ribosomal RNA". It matches the Rfam family "Bacterial small subunit ribosomal RNA", at positions 8 to 189 of the family's 1533-position model. The record is from RNAcentral.